This is a microRNA precursor of Lepisosteus oculatus (spotted gar), 91 nucleotides long. Lineage: Eukaryota; Metazoa; Chordata; Actinopteri; Semionotiformes; Lepisosteidae. The record is from Ensembl.
GGCUUCACAGUUUCCUCAUUGUACAUGCUGUGUGCCUUCUCGGUACACGCACAGCGCAUACAAUGUGGACAUUGUGGGGUUCUGUCCAGCU